Perca flavescens (yellow perch) is the source of this 439-nucleotide long non-coding RNA. RefSeq lists it as uncharacterized. Lineage: Eukaryota; Metazoa; Chordata; Actinopteri; Perciformes; Percidae. The transcript is spliced from 3 exons. The record is from RefSeq and is a predicted model, not a curated record.
AUGCACAUGUUUUAAUGUUUUCUCUCUUACUGUAACUUCAGGACGGGACGAUUGACUUGAGCUUCUUCACGGCAGAUUGUUUCCACUUCACUAUUAAGGGACAUGAGGAGCUGGCAAAGGGACUGUGGAACAACAUGUUCCAGCCUGUUGGAGGGAAAGAGACGAUAAAGACAUUUUCAGAGCCAAUACAACUCAUCUGCCCAUCAAAGAAGCAUCCUUACAUCUACACCAGGCCCCGAGUUGAGUCGUCUGCACCGACGCUGAAACAUUUCUCCAUGACGCUGAUGUCUCUACUCUUAGUGUAUUUAAUUUAAUUAUGUGUAGUUUAACAAGCAGAGCAAGGCACUAACACUGCCUGGAUAGACUGGAACCACUGCUCCUAAAAACACAUAGACUCGGGAAACUCAUUUUAACUAACAAUGUAAUAUCACCAUGAAAC